UACGUAGGGGGCGAGCGUUGUCCGAAUUUACUGGGCGUAAAGAGCGUGUAGGCGGACUCUUAAGUGAGGGGUGAAAGUUUUAGGCUCAACCUAAAAAGUGCCUUUCAUACUGGGAGUCUUGAGUGUGGGAGAGGCGAGUGGAAUUCCUGGUGUAGCGGUGAAAUGCGUAGAUAUCAGGAGGAACACCCAUGGCGAAGGCAGCUCGCUGGCCUACAACUGACGCUGAGACGCGAAAGCGUGGGGAGCAAACAGG
This 253-nucleotide ribosomal RNA is filed under the name uncultured bacterium. RNAcentral's name for it is "partial 16S ribosomal RNA". It matches the Rfam family "Bacterial small subunit ribosomal RNA", at positions 524 to 776 of the family's 1533-position model. The record is from RNAcentral.